This is a long non-coding RNA of Antechinus flavipes (yellow-footed antechinus), 1732 nucleotides long. RefSeq lists it as uncharacterized. NCBI's taxonomy places the organism in Eukaryota, Metazoa, Chordata, Mammalia, Dasyuromorphia, Dasyuridae. The transcript has 3 exons. The record is from RefSeq and is a predicted model, not a curated record.
UGUGUGUGUGUGUGUGUGUGUUUCCCUAGGCUAAACAUCUCUGCUUCUUUGAAUAAAUCCUCAAAUUUCUCUGUGAUCUAGUCCCUCUUCAAUGUCUCCCCUAAAAUAUUGUGUCCAGAACUUAAGACAAUAUUCCACAUGUGAUCUUGCCAGGACAAAAGACAGCAGGGUCAGCAAAUGCCUCACUGUGGCCUGAAGAUGACAUCUACUUGGCUUUCAAGUUGGAAAGGUUUCCCAAACUGUCAAGAGUUGACCUCAGGGAUCAUCUCCUUCAAGAACUCUUCCUUGAUUGCCCACUGGCCAUCCUACAGAUACUGGCAGAACAUGUAGCCUGUCCAGUUGGCUCCUCUAAUAAAAUGUAAGCCAUGAGACAACAUCCGCCUCAACGUCCCAGCCAUCUCAGCAAUGUAUCAUCCCAAGAACAAGUCUCUACAUAUGUGCUUUCUAUGCCCUGCCCCAUUCAUUUAUCCAACCACGGAGCACGCCAGAAAAAAGAAAGUGUUGACAUGUUUGUAUACCUUUUAACUCCAUUCCCUUCAAUUCUACCCAUUCAUAAAACCCAGUCAAGGGUCUAUAAAACAGGAAACAGAGCGGCUGUCUCAAGUUUUACUAAUCAUCAUAUCGAGUUUUAUCUAUCAAAUGAACUAUACUGAGUACAAACUGACACGAAAAAACGGUUAGUGUUCACUUUCAAGCCCAGAAGCAACAAAUAGUUCACUUCUAACCCAUCCCCUCCCAUCACCUUACCUCACUACAACUAUUUCCCUACCUUUGGGAUCAUUCUCAAAUAGAUCACUCAGGUAGCCUACGAGACCCAUAGUGCAGAUGUUUGCAUAGUUAAAAAACCUCAUAGUUGGCAGGAUCCUUGGGGUCGUUGAGUCCAAUUCAUACCUGAAUACGAACUCCUGUUAUAACAUCCCUCACAUGGCUAUCCACCCUCCAACAGAUUUUUUUGGGGCAGCUCAUUCCCCUUUUGAAUAGUUCUAGAUAUUCAUAUGCUUCUUUCACAAAUACCAUGGAACACCCAACAUUGAGGGAUGUCCCCGUAUGAAGCUUUUGGUCUUACAUUGAAUUGCUAGCCAGAGACAAUGUUGUAAGAAAUAAGGUGUGAAAAAUGGAAGAAUCAUGGAAUGAGAAUAAUAUGGAAAUGAGGACAGAGAUUUUCAGAUGAGCAAGGCUAGGCUUUAUGAGUAAGGGUCCACAAUAGCACUGGUUUAUAAAACAGGGCUUGACAGUUUAGUCAUCCUUAAGAUUCACCUCUUAAGUUCCAAAAGAAAUAAAAAAACAAAAACAAAAAUAAAAACAGGGUUCUUGGUUCUUUACAGAGUUUCUGAAUUUGAAAUUAAAUUCCUAAUUCAAGUUGAAAGAAAAGGAAUGAUCUUUCAUUCUAUAAAUAUUCUCCAGAACCUAGAAUCUGAUGAUGUAGUAUAUCAAGUGACAAAUUCAAGGCCCUUAAAACAGGCUAGUUGUCCAGAAUGAGCUGGAAGGGAUGGAAUGAUAGUAAUUCAGGGAGAAGAUGAAUAGGUACAUUCAUAGGGAUUCCAGAGUAGAGAGUGAGUGAUAGCAGGAGAAUAUGGACUUCUGUUAGGCAACUUGCUGAAAGGGUUACUGUACUGAAUUUAGAAUUAGGAGGAUCUAAGUUCAAAUACUAUCUCAACCACUGAUUAGCUCUGUAAUCCUGAGCAAAUUGUUAAACUCUUUUUGCUUCAUUUUCUUGAGGAUAACAAUAAUA